AGCCCGCUACAGAAACUCAAAGGAAGUUCGACGGGGCCCGCACAAGCGGAGGAGCAUGUGGUUUAAUUCGAUGAUACGCGAGGAACCUUACCUGGGCUCGAACGUAAGAUGACUGUAGGUGAAAGCUUACAUCUCUUCGGAGCAUUUUACGAGGUGCUGCAUGGUUGUCGUCAGCUCGUGCCGUGAGGUGUCGGGUUAAGUCCCAUAACGAGCGCAACCCCUACCUUUAGUUGCCAUCAGGUUAAGCUGGGGACUCUAAAGGAACUGCCUACGCAAGUAGUGAGGAAGGCGGGGAUGACGUCAAAUCAGCACGGCCCUUACGUCCAGGGCUACACACGUGCUACAAUGGCCGAUACAGAGGGCAGCUACCUGGUGACAGGAUGCAAAUCUCCAAAGUCGGUCUCAGUUCGGAUCGGAGUCUGCAACCCGACUCCGUGAAGUUGGAUUCGCUAGUAAUCGCGCAUCAGCCAUGGCGCGGUGAAUACGUUCCCGGGCCUU
RNAcentral lists this ribosomal RNA (498 nucleotides) under uncultured Sphingobacteriales bacterium. RNAcentral describes it as "bacterial SSU rRNA". It matches the Rfam family "Bacterial small subunit ribosomal RNA", at positions 879 to 1382 of the family's 1533-position model. Lineage: Bacteria; Pseudomonadati; Bacteroidota; Sphingobacteriia; Sphingobacteriales. The record is from RNAcentral.